RNAcentral lists this long non-coding RNA (287 nucleotides) under Lathyrus oleraceus (garden pea). Its description in RNAcentral is "Pisum sativum (pea) long non-coding RNA (PSAT_LNC012901)". The record is from RNAcentral. Lineage: Eukaryota; Viridiplantae; Streptophyta; Magnoliopsida; Fabales; Fabaceae.
GAGACGAUCGUGAGCGAUAGGGAAUGAGACGAGAGAUGGCAAACGCGUUUGAGAGAGGGUUCUGGCGAGAGAGGUUGAGUUUCGUUGAGAGUGAGAUUGAGGGUAACUGAGGACGAUGACUAUGUGAUUACAGUGUUUUUUCAUUUUCCUUUUUUUGGUUCCCUUCUAUUUAUUCCUUUUUAUUUAUUUAUUUUAGUAAGAACAACUUUGAAACCAUUACUUUUUCUACGUUUAAACUUCCUAGAUUUUCAUUUAAUAGUGUUUUCAUUUACUAGUGUAUUAGUAUA